This 238-nucleotide ribosomal RNA is filed under the name uncultured bacterium. RNAcentral's name for it is "partial 16S ribosomal RNA". It matches the Rfam family "Bacterial small subunit ribosomal RNA", at positions 96 to 334 of the family's 1533-position model. The record is from RNAcentral.
UGGCGGACGGGUGAGUAACGCGUGGAUAACCUGCCUCACACUGGGGGAUAACAGUUGGAAACGGCUGCUAAUACCGCAUAAGCGCACAGUACCGCAUGGUACCGUGUGAAAAACUCCGGUGGUAUGAGAUGGACCCGCGUCUGAUUAGCUAGUUGGUGGGGUAACGGCCUACCAAGGCGACGAUCAGUAGCCGACCUGAGAGGGUGACCGGCCACAUUGGGACUGAGACACGGCCCAA